GUUAUGGUAUAUUUUGCGCUUGCCACUGUAAUAUCUGGGUAUGGGUGUUGGUUGGUAUCAAAGCAACUUCCUUCUGAAAAUGAGGAAACUGCUGGAUUCUUGAGAACGGACGUGGAAGAUAAUGAAACUACAAACUCUACAACUCUUAGGAAGAAAGAAAUUAAGGGAACUAUAAAGUUGCAAAGUCACUAUGCAGAAGAGGCAAUUAGGCUAAGAGCUGGAUUUUGGGGAUAUCUUAUGCAAACAAUUUUUCAGACUUGUGCAGGUGCUGUCAUCCUAA
RNAcentral lists this unclassified non-coding RNA (280 nucleotides) under Hevea brasiliensis (rubber tree). The record is from RNAcentral. Lineage: Eukaryota; Viridiplantae; Streptophyta; Magnoliopsida; Malpighiales; Euphorbiaceae.